This 497-nucleotide ribosomal RNA is filed under the name uncultured bacterium. RNAcentral describes it as "partial 16S ribosomal RNA". It matches the Rfam family "Bacterial small subunit ribosomal RNA", at positions 28 to 507 of the family's 1533-position model. The record is from RNAcentral.
GAUGAACGCUGGCGGCGUGCCUAAUACAGGCUAGUCGAGCGAAGGGACGAGAAGGUUGCGUCGCUGAUGUUAGCGAGGGACGGGUGAGUAACACGGGGAUAAUGUACCGAUAAGACUGGGAUAACUUCGGGAAACGGGAGCUAAUACCGGAUAAUAUUUUGAACCGAGUGGUGGAAAAGAGAAAGACGGUCUUGCGGUCAGGAAUAGAGGGUUCCGCGCUGCAUUAGCUAGUUGGUAAGGGAACGGCUUACCCAGGCAACGAUGCAUAGCCGACCUGAUAGGGUGAUCGGCCACCCUGGAACUGAGACACCCUCCCGACUCCUACGGGACGCAGCAGUAGGUAAUCUUCCGCAAUUGGCGAAUGCCUGACGGAGCUACGCCGCGUGAGUGAUGAAGCUCUUCGGCUCGUACAACUCUGUUAUUCGGGAAGAACAUAUGUGUCAGUAACUGUGCACAUCUUGACGGUACCUCAUCAGACAGCCACGGCUAACUACGUG